CAGAUGUAGUAGCCAGUUAUUGUGGGUGGGCUGUAUUACUGAUUGUGUUUUGUGGGUGGGCUGCUGGACUAACAAGGGCACUGACCGGCAGGAGGUCAGAUACCCUGUUAGUCUGAUUGGUAAAGGGGAGAAGUGUGGCGAAACCAACCUCGCCACUAUGCACUGGAGAAGCCUGGUUGCCAGCCUCCUGCCAUCUGACUAUGGCCCCCUUGUGAAGUCGUACUUUUGUAUGCAAUAUUUGGGCAUGUGACAUUCUUAUAUUGCUGCUACUGGCCCUUUAAGGGCCCUCCGUGAACAUAUUCUGCCUGUUAGGAAUAAUGCCUUUUUAAGACUGUGUAGCAAAUUGCAUUCAGGCUGUAUUUAAUAUUAUGUGUUCGGUGUAAAGUGUUAUGUGAAUGCAGCAUUCCCUGAUUGUUCGGUAGAAUCACUUCAUUCAUUAUAUUGGGUGAAACUACCGAACAACCAGACCACCCGGGAGUAAGUGUGCCUCCAAUUACCGUUUGCAACAAUGUUGCAAACGGGUAAUUGGCUAUAUGUGUACUGUGUGUUGUGUCCUCUGGGUGGCCGCCAUUCGUGAAACGAACACGUGGCGGCGGCCAUCUUAAACUCCCGAAC
Non-coding RNA from Pelobates cultripes (western spadefoot toad), 615 nucleotides. The record is from the annotation of a GenBank genome assembly. NCBI's taxonomy places the organism in Eukaryota, Metazoa, Chordata, Amphibia, Anura, Pelobatidae.